UGCUCGCAUGAUGGAAUUGGCAGACAUGUUGCACUUAAAAUGCAGUGGCAUUGAGUCCGUGCCGGUUCGAGUCCGGCUGUGAGUAU
Molecule: transfer RNA, 86 nt
Filed under: compost metagenome
Description: tRNA-Leu
Rfam family: tRNA
About the family: Transfer RNA (tRNA) molecules are approximately 80 nucleotides in length. Their secondary structure includes four short double-helical elements and three loops (D, anti-codon, and T loops).
Source: RNAcentral